Molecule: ribosomal RNA, 253 nt
Filed under: uncultured bacterium
Lineage: Bacteria
Description: partial 16S ribosomal RNA
Rfam family: Bacterial small subunit ribosomal RNA
Source: RNAcentral
UACGUAGGGUGCGAGCGUUAAUCGGAAUUACUGGGCGUAAAGCGUGCGCAGGCGGUUCGCCAAGUCAGGUGUGAAAUCCCCGGGCUUAACCUGGGAACUGCAGUCGAGACUGUCUAGCUAGAGUAUGGGAGAGGGAAGUGGAAUUUCAGGUGUAGCGGUGAAAUGCGUAGAUAUCUGAAGGAACAUCAGUGGCGAAAGCGACUUCCUGGACCAAUACUGACGCUCAUGUGCGAAAGCGUGGGGAGCAAACAGG